AACGAACGCUGGCGGCAUGCCUAACACAUGGCAAGGUCGAACGAGACCUUCGGGUCUAGUGGCGCACGGGUGCGUAACGCGUGGGAAUCUGCCCUUAGGUUCGGAAUAACUUCGGGAAACUGAAGCUAAUACCGGAUGAUGACGUAAGUCCAAAGAUUUAUCGCCUAAGGAUGAGGCCCGCGUUUGGAUUAGCUAGUGGUGAGGUAAAGGCUCACCAAGGCGACGAUCCAUAGCUGGUCUGAGAGGAUGAUCAGCCACACUGGGACUGAGACACGGCCCAGACUCCUA
Molecule: ribosomal RNA, 288 nt
Filed under: uncultured bacterium
Lineage: Bacteria
Description: partial 16S ribosomal RNA
Rfam family: Bacterial small subunit ribosomal RNA
Source: RNAcentral